Cucurbita maxima (winter squash) is the source of this 737-nucleotide RNA transcript. It is a transcript of the gene named defensin-like protein 5, with no coding region annotated. The transcript has 4 exons. Lineage: Eukaryota; Viridiplantae; Streptophyta; Magnoliopsida; Cucurbitales; Cucurbitaceae. The record is from RefSeq and is a predicted model, not a curated record.
AGUGAUUUCUCAAAUUAAGGUCCCACACUCAAAGUUGUUCCUCGAAACCAAUUUCUUAAGCUUGAGGAAAGAAUAAGGAAGAAGUUCCAUGAAGAAAUCGAGCCUUGAAAACCCUUAGAAUCGGCUACCCAAUAAGAAAUCAUUUGUUUUUACUCCAGCGAGAAAUUAUAUUUUGGACGAACUUUGGAAGCGAAUAUCUAAGGCUACGAUCCACGAAAAGAAACUAGACACAAUAAGAAGUCUGUGGAAGAAAAUUGAAGGUAAUUCAGGUAUCGGAAGAUCAUGAACAGAGGUCCCGAACGUCGACAACGCGCAAGGAAUAAGAGAAGAAACAAACCUUCCAUUGUAGGAAGGAAUAAGAGAAGAAAAGAAUGGCGGGACAAAGCUUGAGAAAUCUCAAAAUUGUGGUGUUCAUCUUCCUAGCCCUUACUUCUGGAUGGAUGGUGGUGCAGACAGAGGGGCGGACAUGCUAUAAGCACAGCGAUGCAUUUAUAGGACCGUGCAUUGCAGCAACAUGUGCUGAACUUUGCAUUUCUUUUGAGAAGUGGGAUGACGGAUUUUGCUCGGGUGAUAAAUGCACUUGUACGAAGCAAUGUGCUGAGUCCAUGCUUUAAUGGGUUUGUAAUUCACCACAGUUGUUGCUAUCUGAAUGUAAUAAACGACUCCAAUUCUACUGAAUUGCACAACAUGUUUACUAAUCAAAGCUUCCUUCUUCCAUUUUAUACUUUUUAUCUCAA